AUGCCCAAGAGGAAGGUCAGCUCCACCGAGGGGGUGGCGAAGGAGGAGCCCAAGAGGAGAUCAGCACGGUUGUUGGCUAAACCUGCUCCUGCAAAAGUGGAAGCAAAGCCAAAAAAGGCGGCGGGAAAAGAUAAAUCUUCAGACAAAAAAGUACAAGCAAAAGGGAAAAGGGGAGCGAAGGAAAGCAGGCUGAAGUGGCUAACCAAGAAACUAAAGAAGAGUUCUGCAGAAAAUGGAGAAACUAAAACCGAGGAGAAUCCAGCCUCUGAUGAAGCAGGAGAGAAAGAAGCCAAGCCUGAAUAAUAUCAUAUCCCAUGUCUUAUCAGUGGUCCCUGUCUCCCUUCUUGUACAAUCCAGAGGAAUAUUUUUUAUCAACUAUUUUAUAAAUGCAAGUUUUUUAGUAGCUCUAGAAACAUUUUUAAGAAGCAGGGAAUCCCACCUCAUCCCAUUUUUUAAGUGUAAAUGCUUUUUUUUAAGAGGUGAAAUCAUUUGCUGGUUGUUUAUUUUUUGGUACGACCAGAAAAUAGUGUGGGAUAUUGAAUUACAGGAGGCUUUGACUGUCUUGGGUAUCAGCUUAACAUUCCAUAGAUGGGGGGUUAGUUUUUAUAUCCUAUAAUGCAAAGUAUACUAAGUGGCAAUAUGGAUCACAGUCCUGCAUUUAAUGUCUUGAACAUUUAAAAUUACUUCUAUUCCCAUGUUGUUUUUUAGUAGAAUUGUUUCCUAAAGAAAACCACUCCUUGAUCAUGGCUCUCCCUAUCAGAAUUGUGUGCACUCUGUAACAUCUUUGGUCGUAGUAGUCUUGUUUUCCUGAUAACUUUGUUAAUGUGUUGUGAAAGAUUGAAAAAUUGAGUAUGUUAUGUAUAUGAUAAAUUGUGAAUUGGUGAAAUGUAUGUAGCAGCUUAUCAACAUUUGAAGAUACUGGUACUUGAUAUCCUCUUAAGGAAAAUUUACCUCCAAAUUUUAAGCUAGAAAGUCACUGGAAUAACUUUUAAAAAUA
Molecule: RNA transcript, 997 nt
Organism: Carlito syrichta (Philippine tarsier)
Lineage: Eukaryota; Metazoa; Chordata; Mammalia; Primates; Tarsiidae
Gene name: non-histone chromosomal protein HMG-14 pseudogene
Exons: 1
Source: RefSeq, a predicted model, not a curated record